GACGAACGCUGGCGGCGUGCUUAACACAUGCAAGUCGAACGGAAAGGCCCUGCUUGCAGGGUACUCGAGUGGCGAACGGGUGAGUAACACGUGGGUGAUCUGCCCUGCACUUCGGGAUAAGCCUGGGAAACUGGGUCUAAUACCGGAUAGGAGCCAUUUUUAGUGUGAUGGUUGGAAAGUUUUUUCGGUGUAGGAUGAGCUCGCGGCCUAUCAGCUUGUUGGUGGGGUAAUGGCCUACCAAGGCGGCGACGGGUAGCCGGCCUGAGAGGGUGGACGGCCACAUUGGGACUGAGAUACGGCCCAGACUCCUACGGGAGGCAGCAGUGGGGAAUAUUGCACAAUGGGCGCAAGCCUGAUGCAGCGACGCCGCGUGGGGGAUGACGGCCUUCGGGUUGUAAACUCCUUUCGCCAGGGACGAAGCUUUUUGUGACGGUACCUAGAUAAGAAGCACCGGCUAACUACGUG
This 465-nucleotide ribosomal RNA is filed under the name uncultured bacterium. Its description in RNAcentral is "partial 16S ribosomal RNA". It matches the Rfam family "Bacterial small subunit ribosomal RNA", at positions 28 to 507 of the family's 1533-position model. The record is from RNAcentral.